RNAcentral lists this ribosomal RNA (253 nucleotides) under uncultured bacterium. Its description in RNAcentral is "partial 16S ribosomal RNA". It matches the Rfam family "Bacterial small subunit ribosomal RNA", at positions 524 to 776 of the family's 1533-position model. The record is from RNAcentral.
UACGGAGGAUCCAAGCGUUAUCCGGAAUCAUUGGGUUUAAAGGGUCCGUAGGCGGGCAGCUAAGUCAGUGGUGAAAGUCUGCAGCUCAACUGUAGAAUUGCCAUUGAAACUGGGUGUCUUGAAUUGGUGUGAAGUGGUUAGAAUAAGUAGUGUAGCGGUGAAAUGCAUAGAUAUUACUUAGAAUACCAAUUGCGAAGGCAGAUCACUAACACUAUAUUGACGCUGAUGGACGAAAGCGUGGGGAGCGAACAGG